RNAcentral lists this non-coding RNA (158 nucleotides) under bovine gut metagenome. RNAcentral describes it as "Lysine riboswitch". It matches the Rfam family "Lysine riboswitch aptamer". Rfam says of the family: Riboswitches are metabolite binding domains within certain messenger RNAs that serve as precision sensors for their corresponding targets. The record is from RNAcentral.
GGAUAGAGGCGCGUUUGCCAAGAGUAGCGGGAGUCACGGGCGGUUUUGCCCGCCGCGAAAGGGGCCGACGCCGAAGGGACCGGAAAAAACCGUCCGGCGUCCCUGGGCCGUGGGAGAAGAUCUCACGGACUGUCACGUUUUUCGUGGAGCGCUAUCGU